UACGAAGGGGGCGAGCGUUGUUCGGAUUUACUGGGCGUAAAGGGCGCGCAGGCGGCUCAUUUUGUCAGGCGUGAAAGCCCCGGGCUUAACCUGGGAACUGCGUUUGAUACGGAUGGGCUAGAGUUCGGGAGAGGAGAGUGGAAUUCCCAGUGUAGAGGUGAAAUUCGUAGAUAUUGGGAAGAACACCGGUGGCGAAGGCGGGUCUCUGGGCCGUAACUGACGCUGAGGAGCGAAAGCGUGGGGAGCGAACAGG
This 253-nucleotide ribosomal RNA is filed under the name uncultured bacterium. Its description in RNAcentral is "partial 16S ribosomal RNA". It matches the Rfam family "Bacterial small subunit ribosomal RNA", at positions 524 to 776 of the family's 1533-position model. The record is from RNAcentral.